Phalacrocorax carbo (great cormorant) is the source of this 1491-nucleotide non-coding RNA. NCBI's taxonomy places the organism in Eukaryota, Metazoa, Chordata, Aves, Suliformes, Phalacrocoracidae. The record is from RefSeq and is a predicted model, not a curated record.
GCCAUUUCCGCUUCCGGGAGCAGGGACCGCAAUGGCGGUGCUGGCGUCCAACCCCAACAACCCCGUGGUCUUCUUCGAUGUCACCAUCGGCGGGCAGGAGGUCGGCCGCAUGAAGAUUGAGCUGUUUGCCGAUGUUGUACCCAAAACGGCAGAGAACUUCAGGCAGUUUUGUACGGGUGAAUUCAGGUAAGUGUGGGUUAUAGUGUCCUUUUAAGUAGCCUACUCAGGGAAACAGGGCUGGGUGAGUAGGAAGAAGGCUCGCUCGGAAGUUUUUCUUACUAUACCAGUACAAAACAGGAGAGUUACAGAAGCCUGCUCUGAUGAAAUUGCGACGGGCUCAGUUGGUCACAGAGAUGGCAAAAUUCUCCUUUUGGGCAUGACUUUGUUCAUGCUCAGGUUGCUCUAAAAAGCCUUGUCUGCAAAUCCCACCUGCUCAUGCUGCAAAUUGCAGUGGGAUCCCAUUAAGAUGAUGGGAUAGAUGUUAUAGGGAACUGUCAUUUAGCAUGCAGAGCCCACUUGAGGUUUGCCUUAGCCUCUGAUAUCCUCUUAGCCUUCUGACAGGAGGGGUGGAUGGGAGCUGGAGCAGCCUUGUCAGCAAGGGCUUGAAAGGCAAACUUAGUUCGAAAAAAAGCCAAGCGGCUUUUCCCUGGCUUGAGAUACAAUCUUGGUGGAUUACAGCUCUGAGCUCCGUCCCUACAUUUGAUUGAGUUUCACAGAGAUUUUAGACCCCUCUGCUUAAGGCAGCUUGUUUUCUCUCCGCAUUCAGCUGUGCGACCUCUCCGCGCGGCUGGAACUGGAGUCCCAAAAUGCUCUGCACCUCGAAGCUGCAAACCAGGAGCUGCAAGGGCUGGUGGCUCUUCUGCCACAUCGCUUGGCCACUCCAGGGGUGGGUCAUCCCCCAACAGCGCUUCAUGGAGGAGAGUGUGAGCAGCGAGCGCAAGAAGAAACGAGAGAGAAGCAACAUCUCGGGGAGCUUUGCAGGUCACUUUAGACUCAGGCAGCCGCUCAAGCCAAAACAGAAGAGGCCAACACCACUGACGCUUCUUGGAGAAAGCUGCUGGAGCAGAGAAUGAAAGCUCAGGAAUUGGACCUGGAGAGAGCACGGAGCCUGCAGGAGGCGAACGCACUGCAACUGGCGUUGGUGCAGGCAGAACUAAAAAGCUCCGAAAAGCGUUAUUUGUUGGGCCGCAAAAUUAGAAGCUGCCUCUCAAAGAAACUAAAAAAGGCUAAUGAGACGCUGGCGGAAGCCAGUGCUGAGAGCCGUCAGGAGCAGCAGCGCAGACUCGUCAGUCGCAAGGCCAAGAGCCUGAGCCAGAGCAGGGGACAGAGCGGAAACCCAUCGGGCUCAGUCACUGGUGAACAUGAAACCGGAUCUGCUGGGGAUUCUCCCUGGACGUCUCCUGCUGUUCCGCCAAAUUGAAACAAAGUCCAGGCUAUCCCCUUGCAGGGCAACACCGCCCGAUCGUGAUGCUCUGAGAACAAGUAUUAAAC